GAUGAACGCUGGCGGCGUGCCUAAUACAUGCAAGUCGAGCGGACGGACGAGAAUCUUGCUUCUCUGAUGUUAGCGGCGGACGGGUGAGUAACACGUGUAUAACCUACCUAUAAGACUGGUAUAACUUCGGGAAACCGGAUCUAAUACCGGAUGAUAUUUUGAACCGCAUGGUUCAAAAGUGAAAGACGGUCUUGCUGUCACUUCUAGCUGGAUCCGCGCUGCAUUAGCUAGUUGGUACGGUAACGGCUUACCAAGGCAACGAUGCGUAGCCGACGUGAGAGGCGGAUCGGCGACAUGGGAACGGAGCCAGGGACAAGAGUACUAAGGGAGGCAGCAGUAGGGAAUCUGACGCAAUGGGCGAAAGCCUGACGGAGCAACGCCGCGUGAGUGAUGAAGGUCUUGGGAUCGUAAAACUCUGUUAUUAGGGAAGAACAGAUGUGUAAGUAACUGUGCACAUAUUGACGGUAACUAAUCAGAAAGCAACGGCUAACUACGUG
Molecule: ribosomal RNA, 497 nt
Filed under: uncultured bacterium
Lineage: Bacteria
Description: partial 16S ribosomal RNA
Rfam family: Bacterial small subunit ribosomal RNA
Source: RNAcentral